This 21-nucleotide microRNA is filed under the name Homo sapiens (human). Its description in RNAcentral is "hsa-miR-6500-3p". Lineage: Eukaryota; Metazoa; Chordata; Mammalia; Primates; Hominidae. The record is from miRBase by way of RNAcentral.
ACACUUGUUGGGAUGACCUGC